CUAUACAAUGAAAGUGCGAGGGCUGUCGCUGACCUUUUUCAAAAGAGUCGUGCACGCCCAAGUGCUCUCACACAUCCAUUUCACACCUUUGUGCAUCACCGCGUGGGGGAGGCCCACGUUUUUCUUUUCACACAAACCUCAAAGUAGUGUAGAAUGUACUUUCUUUAUUUUGCGGUGAUACGCAAAUCAAUA
This 192-nucleotide unclassified non-coding RNA is filed under the name uncultured Russulaceae. RNAcentral's name for it is "sequence contains ITS1". Lineage: Eukaryota; Fungi; Basidiomycota; Agaricomycetes; Russulales; Russulaceae. The record is from RNAcentral.